AGGGGCAGCAGAAUGCAAUAUUUGCUGGCGACCGGCGCACGGGUGCGUAACACGUAUACAAUCUGCCUUUAACAGGGGGAUAGCCCGGAGGAAUCCGGAUUAAUACCCCAUAAUAGAUCGAAUGGCAUCAUUUGAUUUUGAAAGCUCCGGCGGUUAAAGAUGAGUAUGCGUCUGAUUAGCUAGUUGGUGAGGUAACGGCUCACCAAGGCGACGAUCAGUAGGGGAUCUGAGAGGAUUAACCCCCACACGGAUACUGAGACACGGAUCCGACUCCUACGGGAGGCAGCAGUAAGGAAUAUUGGACAAUGCCCGCAAGGGUGAUCCAGCCAUGCCGCGUGCAGGAAGACGGCCCUAUGGGUUGUAAACUGCUUUUACACCGGAGAAAACCUCCCCUCGUGAGGGGAGCUGAUAGUGUGGUGAGAAUAAGCAUCGGCUAACUUCGUGCCAGCAGCCGCGGUAAGACAAAGGAUGCAAGCGUUAUCCGGAUUCAUUGGGUUUAAAGGGAGCGUAGGUGGCCUUAUAAGUCAGUGGUGAAAUCUCUGGGCUUAACCCAGAAAUUGCCAUUGAUACUGUAGGGCUUGAGUACAGUUGCUGUGGGCGGAAUAUGACAUGUAGUGGUGAAAUACAUAGAGAUGUCAUAGAACACCGAUUGCGAAGGCAGCUCACAAAACUGUAACUGACACUGAGGCUCGAAAGUGCGGGGAUCAAACAGGAUUAGAUACCCUGGUAGUCCGCACCGUANACGAUGAUUACUCGCUGCUAGAGGGCAANUUUUAG
Molecule: ribosomal RNA, 777 nt
Filed under: uncultured bacterium
Lineage: Bacteria
Description: bacterial SSU rRNA
Rfam family: Bacterial small subunit ribosomal RNA
Source: RNAcentral